This 267-nucleotide ribosomal RNA is filed under the name uncultured bacterium. RNAcentral describes it as "partial 16S ribosomal RNA". It matches the Rfam family "Bacterial small subunit ribosomal RNA", at positions 88 to 354 of the family's 1533-position model. The record is from RNAcentral.
CCGGCGACCGGCGCACGGGUGAGUAACACGUAUGCAACCUGCCCUCUUCAGGGGGACAACCUUCCGAAAGGGAGGCUAAUCCCGCGUAUAUCGGUUUCGGGCAUCCGAGAUCGAGGAAAGAUUCAUCGGAAGAGGAUGGGCAUGCGGCGCAUUAGCUAGACGGCGGGGGUAACGGGCCCACCGUGGCGACGAUGCGUAGGGGUUCUGAGAGGAAGGUCCCCCACACUGGUACUGAGACACGGACCAGACUCCUACGGGAGGCAGCAG